CGUGUACCAAUAUAUUAUACGGACGUGUACCAUCAAACCCGACUGUAUGCGUUGUAAUCGAUAUUGUAGCGAACGAAAACUUCAAAUUAAAAACAACGCGGCUCGCGGUCCGAGUUUUCAAUACAACGUUAGAAUGCCACGGAUGAGGAGACAUACAGGAUGCCGAACGACGAGAGCUUAUCGGCCGAAGACCGCGGAAGUUUCCGAAACCCGGAAUAACUAUUAGGUAUAGCGUUUUUUCGCCACGAUGGCGUCCGACGGACUGCCAAUACAAUUCGGUACCGUUUGAUGAGAAUUAUGAUUUCGUACAUUGAUCGAUGAACCGAUCGGUCGCCUCGAUUAUUUCGCGCCGUUUCGUGUGCCGGCGGGCGGUGUAUCGUAAAAAAAUGUGUCGGGCAUUUAACCGCCGUAACUGUUUAGCGCCACGAGCCGACCCGCCUGCCGAACUUUCGAACCGCCAAAAUAUCGAUGGCAGACUGUCGUCCGGCACCCUCCGGUACAACAUCGUAAUUCGCGGACGCGAGCAGCUAGCGAUGGACACUUCCGAACCGUUUAUGUCACCCGGUGUUUCGUUCGAUUAGUAUUUUAUUUCCGCGGCCGAAUACUCGAAUAUAUUGGCUGGUCGAACGGCUUUUUCCGCAACCGGCGGUGUAAACCAGUGUGUUAUAAUAUUCCGUCGCGUCAAUGCGAUGAAGCAAUUAAGUUUUUACGGUUAUUUUCCGAUUGGUCGGCCGACGCGGCAAUUAUGCGUGUCGGACGAUUUUUCUCGGUUAUAUCGGCCACAUAACGACGACGGUAUCGCAAAACGUCCGCGGGGGAGCGUGUCCCGUAAACGUGUCUCGUUUGGAAAAUUG
Molecule: non-coding RNA, 854 nt
Organism: Cinara cedri
Lineage: Eukaryota; Metazoa; Arthropoda; Insecta; Hemiptera; Aphididae
Source: the annotation of a GenBank genome assembly